AGAGUUUGAUCCUGGCUCAGAACGAACGCUGGCGGCAGGCCUAAUACAUGCAAGUCGAGCGCAUCCUUCGGGAUGAGCGGCGGACGGGUGAGUAACGCGUGGGAAUAUGCCCUUCUCUAAGGAAUAGCCUCGGGAAACUGAGAGUAAUACCUUAUACGCCCUUCGGGGGAAAGAUUUAUCGGAGAAGGAUUAGCCCGCGUUAGAUUAGGUAGUUGGUGGGGUAAUGGCCUACCAAGCCUACGAUCUAUAGCUGGUUUGAGAGGAUGAUCAGCCACACUGGGACUGAGACACGGCCCAGACUCCUACGGGAGGCAGCAGUAGGGAAUCUUAGACAAUGGGGGAAACCCUGAUCUAGCCAUGCCGCGUGUGUGAUGAAGGCCUUAGGGUCGUAAAGCACUUUCGCCAGAGAUGAUAAUGACAGUAUCUGGUAAAGAAACCCCGGCUAACUCCGUGCCAGCAGCCGCGGUAAUACGGAGGGGGUUAGCGUUGUUCGGAAUUACUGGGCGUAAAGCGCACGUAGGCGGAUUAGUAAGUUAGAGGUGAAAUCCCAGGGCUCAACCCUGGAACUGCCUUUAAUACUGCUAGUCUUGAGUUCGAGAGAGGUAAGUGGAAUUCCGAGUGUAGAGGUGAAAUUCGUAGAUAUUCGGAGGAACACCAGUGGCGAAGGCGGCUUACUGGCUCGAUACUGACGCUGAGGUGCGAAAGUGUGGGGAGCAAACAGGAUUAGAUACCCUGGUAGUCCACACCGUAAACGAUGAAUGCCAGACGUCAGCAAGUAU
This 779-nucleotide ribosomal RNA is filed under the name uncultured bacterium. RNAcentral's name for it is "bacterial SSU rRNA". It matches the Rfam family "Bacterial small subunit ribosomal RNA", at positions 8 to 833 of the family's 1533-position model. The record is from RNAcentral.